GAGCCACCAUUUNUUGGUAGAGCAUCUGACUUUUAAUCAGAGGGUCGAAGGUUCGAGUCCUUCAUGGCUCACCA
RNAcentral lists this transfer RNA (74 nucleotides) under Streptococcus pneumoniae. RNAcentral's name for it is "tRNA-Lys(ttt)". It matches the Rfam family "tRNA", at positions 15 to 71 of the family's 71-position model. Rfam says of the family: Transfer RNA (tRNA) molecules are approximately 80 nucleotides in length. Their secondary structure includes four short double-helical elements and three loops (D, anti-codon, and T loops). The record is from RNAcentral. Lineage: Bacteria; Bacillati; Bacillota; Bacilli; Lactobacillales; Streptococcaceae.